This is an RNA transcript of Panicum virgatum (switchgrass), 2687 nucleotides long. It is a transcript of the gene named protein ALTERED PHOSPHATE STARVATION RESPONSE 1-like, with no coding region annotated. The transcript is spliced from 4 exons. The record is from RefSeq and is a predicted model, not a curated record. NCBI's taxonomy places the organism in Eukaryota, Viridiplantae, Streptophyta, Magnoliopsida, Poales, Poaceae.
CUCCCCUCCACCACCACCACCUGACACCAGCCAAACACCCCAAGCUCCUCCCCUGCCCUUUACUCCUGCCCCACGGUCACAGUCUCACGCACCCCACUGCUUUGAUUUUGACUACCCCUCUUCCCCCUCCCCCUCACUCCCCUACGCCACUCUAAACCCUGCGCUAAACCUUGGCAAGGGUAGGGGUAGGGUACGGUAGCCUCCGAUGGGGAACUGCGCCGCCUCCCGCCUCGCCGGCGGCGGUGGCGGCGGCGACGAAGGGGACCCCGUGGCCGUGUGCCGCGACCGGAAGCGCCUUAUCAAGGCGGCGGCCGAGCGCCGGUUCGUGCUGGCCGGCGCGCACGCCAACUACGCGGCGGCGCUGCGGUCCGUAUCCGACGCGCUCGACGUCUUCGUCGCGCGCCACACCGCGCCGGCGCCGAUCCUCAUCACGCUCCCCACCCCCAGCAACUCGCCCCCGGGUUCCCCCAAGGCGGCGCAGGUUCAGGUGCAGGAGCUUCCCUCCCCUGCCGCGCCGCCGCCGCAGCAGCAGCAGGAGGAGGAGGCGCCGGCAUCCCCGGCCGCCGCCGAAGAUGGGGGCGGCGGCGCGCAGACGCCGGAGAUGGCAUGCCCGUACUACUACCAGCCCCCGGUGACGCCGCCGCCGCCGCCGCCGCCUCCUGCGCCGUCGGCGGUCGGCGGAUGGGACUUCUUUAACCCGUUCUACGGUACGGAGGAGGUGGCUGCGGCCAUCAGCGACGAGGAGAUGCGCGCCGUGAGGGAGCGGGAGGGCAUCCCCGAGCUGGAGGAGGGAGGAGGAAGAGGAGGACGGAGCGAAGGCGGCGGAAGCCAAGGCCCCGAAGGCAGAAGUGUCGCUUGGAGUCUCAACGCCCCAAGAAGAGGCUAAAGAUGUGUGCGAGAUGGAGGGGAACAACAGCGGGCUGGAGGUGGCCGUGGCGCCUCAGGGGCGCGAGCUGCUUGCGGCGCUCAAGGAGGUGGAGGAGCUCUUCGCGCGCGCCGCCGAGGCCGGAAAGGAGGUGUCCAGCAUGCUCGAAGCCGCCACCCGCGUCCCCGAGCUCAAAGAAAAUUCAUCAAAGAUAAUUCAUGCCAUCACAUGGCAUCGCUCUCCAUCAUCUGUAUCCUCAUCCUACAGGAGUGAGCUGGGGGCAAGCUCAAAUAGCUUGUCAUGGACUGACAAGAGUGAAACUAAGAGUGAUAUAUUCGAAGAUUAUGGUGUGAUGAAGUCAGGAAGUCACUCCCAGACUUUAGGGAGACUGUAUGCUUGGGAGAAGAAACUUUAUGAAGAAGUUAAGGCUAUAGAUCAAAUUCGACAAACCUAUGAGAAAAAAUGUGUUCAGCUGAGGAACCAAGAUGCCAGAGGUUCAGAGCUGCGUAGUGCUGAAAAAACUAGGACAACAGUUAGAGACUUGUAUACAAGAAUCUGGGUUUCUCUACGAGCAGCAGAAUCUAUAUCUGAUAGGAUACAAAAGUUACGGGAUGAGGAACUGCAGCCACAACUUGUUGAGCUGUUGCAAGGCUUCACAAAAUCUUGGAAAUUAAUGGUAGACUCACAUGAAACCCAGAGACAGAUAAUGUUUGAGGUGAAUUCAUUCACAUGUCCAGCUUAUGGCAAAUUCUGUAAUGACGCACAGCGUCAUGCAACUCUGAAGUUGGAGGUGGAACUAAGAAAUUGGAGAUCCUGCUUUGUAAGCUAUGUCAAUGCUCAGAAAGCAUAUAUGGAAGCUCUUGAUGGCUGGUUAUCGAAGUUUAUUCUUACUGAUACCAUCCGGUACUCCAGAGGGAUCUCAUCAAUUUCUCCUGAUAGAGCUGGUGCCCCAGCUUUAGUUGUUAUUUGCCAUGACUGGUACACUACGCUGUCCAAGCUUCCAAACAAGCGGGUCUCCUUCACCAUGCGAAAUUUUCUCAGAAGUGUGAGAGUGCUAUGGCUGAAGCAGGGAGAAGAGCAACAGCAGAAAAGAAAAGUAGACAGCCUGUCAAAAGAGCUGGACAAGAAGCUAACCGCCUACAAAAGAGCAGAGAACAGGAUCAUUGGCACCAAGCUUCUGGAGCAUAAACCUGAUAUAGACGCGAAGCAGCGCAUGGAGCACCUGUUGGAGAAGAAAGAGAUGCUCAACGUCUUGAGGAAGAGGAUUGAGAUGGAGAAAGUGAAGCAUCAAGCCUGCAUGCGGGACACACAUGACGUCACUCUCAACGGGUUCAAGAUUGGCCUCGCCAGUAUCUUCGAAUCGCUGACCGAGUUCUCGAAGGAUCUGGUCAAGCUUUACGAAGACCUUCUAGCUCAAGCCAACUCCAAAGAUUCGGAGAAGGCUACUGCCGGGAAACGGCCCUGCGUGGAGGGGCCAUACUCGCACAUAGCGGUGGAUGCUUCAUGAAUGUUAGUGAGCUCCGUUGUAGGACCUAGCCAGUUGCAUUGCCCCAGUUUUUGGGCCCCUAGAAUCUGUGUCUGAUUUUAGCUUGUAGAGUACCAUGCUGAUGUUGGUUGGUUGUGGGAGGUAGGGUCAUUCUUGUGGGCAACUUGUGCUUGUAACUAUUCUUGUAGCUUGAUAUCAGUGGGGAUUUGCUCUAUCGCUGGUGUUCUUCCCUAGUGGUGCCGUUCACCCUGUCUGGCAUCUGGCCAUCGCAAUGUGCCAAUGUGCAUGAGAAUGGGGAACACUGGACCGGUAGUCAGGUACUGCAUAUGUUAACCA